GCUCCAGUGGCGCAAUCGGUCAGCGCGCGGUACUUAUACAGCAGUGCUAGUGAAGCCAUGUCGAGGUUGUGAGUUCGAGCCUCACCUGGAGCA
Molecule: transfer RNA, 93 nt
Organism: Astyanax mexicanus (Mexican tetra)
Lineage: Eukaryota; Metazoa; Chordata; Actinopteri; Characiformes; Acestrorhamphidae
Rfam family: tRNA
About the family: Transfer RNA (tRNA) molecules are approximately 80 nucleotides in length.
Source: Rfam